Molecule: ribosomal RNA, 468 nt
Filed under: uncultured bacterium
Lineage: Bacteria
Description: partial 16S ribosomal RNA
Rfam family: Bacterial small subunit ribosomal RNA
Source: RNAcentral
GACGAACGCUGGCGGCGUGCUUAACACAUGCAAGUCGAACGGAAAGGCCCUGCUUUUGUGGGGUGCUCGAGUGGCGAACGGGUGAGUAACACGUGAGUAACCUGCCCUUGACUUUGGGAUAACUUCAGGAAACUGGGGCUAAUACCGGAUAGGAGCUCCUGCUGCAUGGUGGGGGUUGGAAAGUUUCGGCGGUUGGGGAUGGACUCGCGGCUUAUCAGCUUGUUGGUGGGGUAGUGGCUUACCAAGGCUUUGACGGGUAGCCGGCCUGAGAGGGUGACCGGCCACAUUGGGACUGCGAUACGGCCCAGACUCCUACGGGAGGCAGCAGUGGGGAAUAUUGCACAAUGGGCGGAAGUCUGAUGCAGCAACGCCGCGUGCGGGAUGACGGCCUUCGGGUUGUAAACCGCUUUCGCCUGUGACGAAGCGUGAGUGACGGUAAUGGGUAAAGAAGCACCGGCUAACUACGUG